GUGUAGUGAAUGCCCUGUUCAAGGAAUAUCCAUACCUUGCAGAUCCUGUAAGUAAUUUAGUAUUGUAUUGAUUGGAACAUAGCUUUUUAUAGAUCCCACAUGAACACAUCGAUUUUAAUUGUUUUCAAAAUCUUUUAAAUUUCAGAAAUGGUGGAGGCAGUCCUCGAGGAACAAGAUGAAGCUUUUCAGAUUGCCCUUAACAUCAAGCUGGUGCAUUUUGGAGCUUAACGAAAAAUUUGGUUCUCCAGGGAUGAAACCAGCUCAGAAACCAGAUGAGGAUGGAGAGGUCAUCCAACUUCAUUUCAAUAUACUAAAACAAGAGAUGAGGAAAGCUACUCCAGCUAUGCCGGAGAAAGAUGGAGAGAAGCUUCACUUAUAGACACAAAAGGAGGUAUAAUCCUGAGGUAUCUGUGGCACAAAUUUUUGAAGAAAUUCCAACUCUACGAUACAAAAACUUUCUAGCAAUUGAGGCUAAGUCAUUGAAUGUGGCUUCCCCAGGUGAAAUGUGGGAUAAAUUACAUGGAUCCAUCAUUCACUUGAUGAAAUUUUCAAAACCAAGGUCUAAAAACUAUCACCAGUUUCACAGCAGAUAUCUAGAAAAUUUGGACAGCACUCUGAAAGGGCAAGAAAGGAAAGAUGAUCAAGUCUCCAACUCCCACUUUGGUGAUGACGGCAAAGUCAUUUCAAAUCUUCAUCAACGGGGAGAAAGUUCUCAACAACAACAUAACAAAGUUCAGUGAAGCCUUAGAAGCGCUUUACUAUUAUUUUUCGGUAUUUGCAAUAGAGUACCCAAAAGAAAUAAAAAACGCAAUGUUUUUUUAGAAAAAAUAAUAUUUAAAGGAAGUACAAAGGUGCUGUCUACUGUAAUGUCAUGGGCCAAAAAGACUUGAACAGCUUAAAUAAAGAGGUAAGCUAUGCAGUGUUAAAAACGUGACCUGUUCUGUGUUAGUAGGGAGGCAACAACUGACGGGAAAAAUGUGUCUUUAAGAUUUUUUUUUUUUUCCGAGCCGGCAAGCCUCAAAAUCAGUUAUUUGCAAAAGGCUUCAAGUAUUUCAUGUAUAUGGCCUGCCCUGCACACACUGACAUCAGAACAGUGUAAGCCAUCUUUAUAAAACAUUUAAAGCUAGGAGGAGUUAUUGUAUGGAUAUAUUGGUUUACUUUGUAUUCUGUAAAUUUUCAUGUAAUAUUUUAAGAUGUAUAUAAUAAUGAUUAGAGUCAGUAUAUGCCUGGGAGAACCAUCAGGGAUGGUGGUGGCGGGUGGGUCAAGACAAUGUGCACCCUGGUUUAUGCUCCCAUUCAUACCAAAUUAUAUUUAGUAAUUAUUGUAUGUACAUAAUUUAUUGUGUGGAAUGGUCAUUAUUCUGUAAAUUUUUGUUAUAUUCUAUGAUGCAUAUGAUUACAUGUAUAAUUCAAAUAAUGAGAGGCACUGAAUUCCCCCAGAAUAAUUUUUCAUUUUUCUCAUUAGGAAGGGUAAAUUAAGUACACCAGAGGUAAAUCAGCCUAAAAUUUUACCUCACACAAAGGGUGAAUAAGACAAACAUUGGGAAAAUCAGCAUAUGGUUUUACCUUAGAAAGUAUAAAUUAUAGAUUCCCAAAGGGUAACUAAGCACAUCAUAUCACCUCAUAAAACAGGUACAUGAGUAUAUGAUUUCACCAACAGAGGGGUAAAUUGGUUACACAUAGGGAUAAAAUUGUGCACGAGAGCAGGUUAAGUCGCUGCCCACAUAAACGCAGCAUCCAGCUUUGGAUUGAAAAAUGAGAUAGAGAAAGUAUGAAGGAACAGAAAAGGGCCUACUGUCAGUUGCCUCAGACACCUGAGUUUAUGUGAGGAAAAGAAGAUGAGGUUUAGAAGAGGAGAGGUGGUGUUCUACAGAUUGAAAAUUACAAUGUUAGUAAGCAUGAUAGAAUAGUCUGACUUGGAGGAGAGAUGGAGGAAAGAUCAAAGAAGGUUCAAGCGGAAGGAGAAACGUGGAGGUAACUUGUGGAAGGAGAUAUGGAGGAAAGAAGAAACACUGGUGGAGAGAAUAAUUUAGUCAGCUUACCAGUAGUAGGG
This is a long non-coding RNA of Scylla paramamosain (green mud crab), 2053 nucleotides long. RefSeq lists it as uncharacterized. The transcript has 3 exons. Lineage: Eukaryota; Metazoa; Arthropoda; Malacostraca; Decapoda; Portunidae. The record is from RefSeq and is a predicted model, not a curated record.